CCGGCCUUGCCCCAGGGUGAGCCCCGGGCGCGGCUGCAGGCGCGGCCACCGGGUAUCGUCGGGGCCCUGGCGAGCUGAGUCCCUGGUUUCCGGCCCGGGGUGCUCCCCUCCGUCCGUCCUAAACCCCGUCCGGUCGCAAGGGGUGUUCCUCGGAUCCCAGAGACCCAGGCUCAGAGCCUGACAGCCCUGGGAGAGGUGGACUGGCUCACCAAGCCCACUCAGUCUCUCCAAGUGCCCAGGUUCAAAGGCUUCACCCAGCAAUGCGCUGCCGCAGACUGGCCCUGGGCCUAGGAUUCUGCCUGCUGUUGGGCAUGGCCCUCUGCUUUCUGUGGAUGUAUGUGGAGAACUGGCUGCCCUUCUCCUAUGUCCCGUAUUACCUCCCCUGCCCAGAGAUCUUCAACAUGAAACUGCAGUAUAAGGGGGAGAAGCCGUUCCAGCCGGUGACAUGGUCACUGUACCCUCAGCCCAAGCUGCUGGAGCAGAGGCCUACUGAGCUGCUGACGCUUACACCCUGGUUGGCGCCCAUCGUCUCUGAGGGAACCUUCAACCCUGAGCUUCUGCAACACAUCUACCAGCCGCUGAACCUGACCAUCGGGGUUACGGUGUUUGCCGUGGGGAAGUACACCCAGUUCAUCCAGCACUUCCUGGAGUCGGCCGAGCGGUUCUUCAUGCAGGGUUAUCGGGUGCGGUACUAUGUCUUCACUAAUGACCCUGCGGCCGUUCCUCGGGUCCCGCUGGGCCCCGGCCGCAGCCUCAGCACCAUCCCCAUCCAGAAGCACUCCCGCUGGGAGGAGAUCUCCACGCGCCGGAUGGAGACCAUCAGCUGGCACAUCGCUGAGACUGCGCACCGGGAGGUGGAUUACCUCUUCUGCCUCGAUGUGGACAUGGUGUUCCGGAACCCGUGGGGCCCCGAGACCUUGGGGGACCUGGUGGCUGCCAUUCACCCAGGCUACUAUGCUGUACCUCGCCAGCAGUUCCCCUAUGAGCGCAGGCGUGUUUCCACCGCCUUCGUGGCAGACAGCGAGGGGGACUUCUAUUAUGGUGGGGCCGUCUUUGGGGGGCGGGUGGCCAGGGUGUACGAGUUUACCAGGGGCUGCCACAUGGCCAUCCUGGCAGACAAGGCCAAUGGCAUCAUGGCAGCCUGGCAGGAGGAGAGCCACCUGAACCGUCGCUUCCUCUCGCACAAGCCCUCCAAAGUGCUGUCCCCUGAGUACCUCUGGGAUGACAGGAAGCCCCAGCCGCCCCGCCUGAAGCUGAUCCGCUUCUCAACGCUGGACAAGGCCACUGGCUGGCUGAGGAGCUGAUGGUGGAGCCAGGGCUGCCGUGGAUGGGGUUCCCCAGCCCCGCAGCCAGCUCGCCCCAGUGCCUCCCUUCUCGGGCCUCAGGUGGAACCAGUCCAGCCCUGCUUACCUCAGGCUGUUAGCAGAAUUCAACCGGAAAAUGGAGGCCGCAAAGCCUUUGUAAACUGUAAAGGGCUGCGCCCACAUGAGGAGAACACAAAGAUCACACAGCCUUAGAACAGUCAGCCAGGAAGAGGGGAGGCAGAGGUGAAGCAGACAGGGCCUGGCAGGCGCUCCCCAGCAGACGUGCCUUCGGGGCAGGCUCUGGAGUCAGCCCUCCUCCACACCUGAGACCCCACCUCUGCCCCCCUUCUGUUGCCUAUUGCCCUUAAAGUUGUACUUCGAAGCCCCUGGUGUGAAAGGCAGCCCAGAACCCUCUUCUCUGGCUGCCGGGGGUCCUGGGUACUCUGAUGUCCCCCAGCCAUACAGAGCCAACCCCCCGGCUCGGCCCUGGAGGGAACCUUGGCAGUGGAACAGGCCUGGCUCUCUCUGUGUCAAGCCUAGCCCGUACCCCACGGUGGGCCACACUCCCUGCCACCAGCCACCUCCUUUGUAAGAGGGCUUGGGCAGCUUUUAACAAAGGUGGCGUGGGGGGCGUCUGGGUGGCUCGGUCAGUUGAGCGG
Neomonachus schauinslandi (Hawaiian monk seal) is the source of this 1963-nucleotide RNA transcript. It is a transcript of the gene named globoside alpha-1,3-N-acetylgalactosaminyltransferase 1 (FORS blood group), with no coding region annotated. The transcript has 8 exons. The record is from RefSeq and is a predicted model, not a curated record. NCBI's taxonomy places the organism in Eukaryota, Metazoa, Chordata, Mammalia, Carnivora, Phocidae.